AUUCUCGCGACUGGUUGAUUACAGGAGAAAUUCUGAAUUACUCAAUCACAAUAGAAUUCAUAGCUUGUGUUAUGGAGACCGGUAAUAAUAAAGGAGUUUGUAUACGGGAUGAAGUAUUUGUUUACGAUGGUACAAACACAAGCGCAACUCUACUCAAACACACUUGUUGUGGACUUGGUGACACAACACCGUUCCAAGUGUAUAGCACAUACGGUUAUAUGUAUGUUCUUUUUCAAACUGACGACGUAAUUACCAAGGAAGGUUUUCGUAUAAGUUAUAUACUGGAGGGAGCGCCAACGACAACUGCACGAGUAAUCACAAGUACAAACCUUGAUAGUAAAUUACCAAUUUAUAUAGCUAUUGGAUGUGCCUUACUUGCAGUUACAGCUAUGAUAAUUAUUUGUGUUGUAUGCUAUUUCAAGUGGAAGAAAUCCAACGACAAUAAAAUCAGAAGCCAUGAAAAUGAUGAAAUAAAAGCAUAACAGAUUCGAAAAACAAACACAAAGAAGAGGAGAUCAUCAUAAGAUUUAAAAAAAUCUAUUACUGUUUUAUUAAUAGUGAUUACCUAAUUCGAUGCCAAUAUAAGAGUGUAAGACGAGAUUAUUAAAAUAUCAGAUGGCAAAAUACUUUGAUUAAAUUGAAAGGAUAUGUAGGGCAUACGUCAAUGAAAUAGCAAUCCCACGACACACUAUACAAACGACCAAAAAUAUGUCAGUAUGCAGUAUUCAACCAAAGUUAUGUGUCACAGUUGUCGUUAUUGUCUCUAUCAAAUUGAUUAACAGAUUCCUUGUGAUUCAGCGUUGAAUAUAGGACAAAGACACUAAUGUUUGAUACAAUGUAUGUCUUUGUUUGUCGGUCCUUAUGUUGUUGGGUCAGUGACAACU
Mytilus californianus (California mussel) is the source of this 884-nucleotide long non-coding RNA. RefSeq lists it as uncharacterized. The record is from RefSeq and is a predicted model, not a curated record. NCBI's taxonomy places the organism in Eukaryota, Metazoa, Mollusca, Bivalvia, Mytilida, Mytilidae. The transcript has 3 exons.